Long non-coding RNA from Salvia miltiorrhiza (redroot sage), 292 nucleotides. RefSeq lists it as uncharacterized. The transcript is spliced from 2 exons. The record is from RefSeq and is a predicted model, not a curated record. NCBI's taxonomy places the organism in Eukaryota, Viridiplantae, Streptophyta, Magnoliopsida, Lamiales, Lamiaceae.
CUUGAAAGAGCCUGUUCUUAUAAAAAGCCAAAAGUUGAAUGGACAUUUGCCAUGAGUUUUGACAUCAUUUUCAAGAGAUGUUUUCUCCAAUUGCAAAGGGUUAUUCUAAAGCUGCAAAGGCGCAAGUUUUGCAAUCUUAUGGAAAAGCUUGUAUUGACUGAAGAAAGUUGCACGUGAGGGGAGAUCAUAAUUUUAUAGUCUCUCUUUAAUCUUAAAUUUACACAACUACUUUAUUGUCAAUAUUCUUUGGUUUUGGAUUUAGACAAUAUCCUCAUGAUCACUUUUUAUUCCA